CGAGUUAGCCAGGCAAUCGCUGCUGUUUNACAGGAGAGGAAAGUCCGGGCUCCUCGAGGCAAGGUGCCAGGUAACCCCUGGGGGGCGUGAGCCUACGGAAAGUGCAGCAGAGAGNAGACCGCCGGCAAUGUCGGUAAGGGUGAAAGGGUGCGGUAAGAGCGCACCGCGUCAGUGGUAACACGAGACGGCAAGGUAAACCCCACCUGGAGCAAGACCAAAUAGGAAUCCGUUCGGCGUGCCUCGCGUUGGAUUCGGGUNGGUCGCUUGAGCAUAACGGUGACGUUAUGCCUAGAUGAAUGAUUGUCCACGACAGAACCCGGCUUAUCGGCUGACUCAAUUU
RNAcentral lists this RNase P RNA (340 nucleotides) under Gammaproteobacteria bacterium. Its description in RNAcentral is "RNase P RNA component class A". It matches the Rfam family "Bacterial RNase P class A". From Rfam's summary of the family: Ribonuclease P (RNase P) is a ubiquitous endoribonuclease, found in archaea, bacteria and eukarya as well as chloroplasts and mitochondria. The record is from RNAcentral. RNAcentral also lists the same sequence under 1 other name. Lineage: Bacteria; Pseudomonadati; Pseudomonadota; Gammaproteobacteria.